This is a long non-coding RNA of Pipistrellus kuhlii (Kuhl's pipistrelle), 177 nucleotides long. RefSeq lists it as uncharacterized. The transcript has 3 exons. The record is from RefSeq and is a predicted model, not a curated record. Lineage: Eukaryota; Metazoa; Chordata; Mammalia; Chiroptera; Vespertilionidae.
UACAACUGUCAUCUCUAUACAGUGGAAUCUCAGUUCUUGAACUUAAUUCAUCCUCAAAGGCUGUUCAAGAAGUGAUUUGUUCGAAAAACGAAUCAUUUUUUUCCAUUAGAAAUAAUAUAAAUUGAGUUAAUUCGUUUCGGACCCCCAAAUGAUUCCCUGCUUAGAUCUUUCUUACAU